UCCAUGACUACGUGUCCAAGGUUCC
Molecule: non-coding RNA, 25 nt
Filed under: Mus musculus (house mouse)
Lineage: Eukaryota; Metazoa; Chordata; Mammalia; Rodentia; Muridae
Source: RNAcentral